AGGGAGACAAACAACGAUUUUGAUGUCUGAGUUAUUUAUUCUUAGGCCAAAAUCCUGUCACCUUAGGUCGAUCGGUACCUCAACUUUGAAGCUAAGAGAGUUCCAGCAAUGGUUGUCUGCUUAGUGGAGAUUUUUAGUUCCUAAACUUUGUCUAGUUCACAACCCAUUAGGGAUGAGACUCCUGGGCCAUUAGCUCAGGUGGUUAGAGCGCACCCCUGAUAAGGGUGAGGUCCCUGGUUCAAGUCCAGGAUGGCCCAUUCGGUGUAGGGGGUUUAGCUCAGUUGGUAGAGCGCCUGCUUUGCAAGCAGGAUGUCAGGAGUUCGAGUCUCCUAACCUCCACUGACUGCAAAGAAUCCCCAUCUCCAAAACCUGGAGUAUGAACUCGUAUGGAUUGUGAUUUAGAUAUGUCCGCUAGAUGACCCUAGCUUCUUGUCAUUUUAAGGCAUGGAAAUGAUUCCAUGAUCUGAUUGAUAGGAU
Molecule: transfer RNA, 477 nt
Filed under: uncultured Synechococcus sp.
Lineage: Bacteria; Bacillati; Cyanobacteriota; Cyanophyceae; Synechococcales; Synechococcaceae
Description: partial 16S-23S ribosomal RNA intergenic spacer
Rfam family: tRNA (bases 267-339)
Source: RNAcentral